CUCAAUACUGAUCCAAGGAUGGUGUUAUUUUGCUUGUGAUGAAGAGUUGAUAUUAUAUAAGAUAUGAAUUUUACUAUUUCCAAUAAUCUUUCAGUGAAGGUUUCUUUCUCUCAACAACCAGAAAUUGUUAUUGAUACUACAUCAUCUAUAGAAGAUAUAAAAAUGUAUAUGGAAACUCUGCAAGCCACUAUUUUAUGUAAAGGAACUGACAUACACUAUAGGUGAAAAUUGAAAAUAAACUUAAAGAUUCACCUAAAUCGAGGCUCCAUCUAGAACUGUGACACCUGAAGUAAAAACAAGCAUCAAGUACAUCUUUUAGUAGUAGUGUGAAAAGAAAGAAAGUAUCUAUCUACAUUACCUUUGAAAAAUUCCAAAUCAUCUUGUAAGUCAAUAGAUAUGUUUUUUAGGUAGCAGAUUUUUUUUGUAAUUAUCUAACUGUAUG
Melitaea cinxia (Glanville fritillary) is the source of this 442-nucleotide long non-coding RNA. RefSeq lists it as uncharacterized. Lineage: Eukaryota; Metazoa; Arthropoda; Insecta; Lepidoptera; Nymphalidae. The transcript has 3 exons. The record is from RefSeq and is a predicted model, not a curated record.